AUAUACUUUCUUUAUUUUAUAUAAAUAAAUUAAUUUUUUAGUUAAAAAGCUAAGAUUUUUUUAUAGGACGAGAAGACCCUAUAGAACUUUAUUUUCUACAUAUAUAUAUUUUAUAGAUUUUUAAAAUAUUAUAUAUUAAUAGUUAAUUUAAUUGGGGUGAUUGAAAAAAUUAUAUAACUUUUUCUNUUUCUAUCAUUUAUUUAUGAUGUUUUUGAUCCUUUAAUAUGGAAAAUAAGAUUAAGUUACCUUAGGGAUAACAGCGU
Molecule: ribosomal RNA, 263 nt
Filed under: Pinalitus oromii
Lineage: Eukaryota; Metazoa; Arthropoda; Insecta; Hemiptera; Miridae
Description: partial 16S ribosomal RNA
Source: RNAcentral